AGAGUUUGAUUAUGGCUCAGGAUGAACGCUGGCGGCGUGCCUAACACAUGCAAGUCGAACGGAGUUACGAGAGCUUGCUUUUGUAACUUAGUGGCGGACGGGUGAGUAAUGUAUGAGCAACCUGCCUUUCAGAGGGGGACAACAGUUGGAAACGACUGCUAAUACCGCAUAAUGUAUUCAGGAGGCAUCUCCGGGAUACCAAAGGAGCAAUCCGCUGAAAGAUGGGCUCAUAUCUGAUUAGCUAGUUGGUGGGGUAACGGCCUACCAAGGCUGCGAUCAGUAGCCGGACUGAGAGGUUGAACGGCCACAUUGGGACUGAGAUACGGCCCAGACUCCUACGGGAGGCAGCAGUGGGGAAUAUUGGGCAAUGGGCGAAAAACGCCUGACCCAGCAACGCCGCGUGAAGGAAGAAGGUCUUCGGAUUGUAAACUUCUUUUAUGAGGGACGAAGGACGUGACGGUACCUCAUGAAUAAGCCACGGCUAACUACGUGCCAGCCGCGGC
This 503-nucleotide ribosomal RNA is filed under the name uncultured bacterium. Its description in RNAcentral is "bacterial SSU rRNA". It matches the Rfam family "Bacterial small subunit ribosomal RNA", at positions 8 to 518 of the family's 1533-position model. The record is from RNAcentral.